Non-coding RNA from Cercophora newfieldiana, 99 nucleotides. The record is from the annotation of a GenBank genome assembly. NCBI's taxonomy places the organism in Eukaryota, Fungi, Ascomycota, Sordariomycetes, Sordariales, Lasiosphaeriaceae.
GGGUGUGUAGCGUAGUGGUCAGCGCGUCCCUAAGCGUAUUCAGCGUUGAUUUCUCUCCAGCGUUUAGCGAAGACCCGGGUUCGAAUCCCGGCACGCCCA